GCAUCGCAGCACAAGCUUCAGGAGGAUUUAUAACUCUGUUUUUAUAAGAACUUUAUAACUCUGUGAAUCUGAACCAACAGCAACCAUGAGCUUCAUCACCAUCUUCAUCUGGAUAUUAACUAUCUACUGUUUCACAGAAUCAAGAGGUGAAGUGACAGUCACUCAGACGCCUGCAGUGGAAUCUGUUCGUCCAGGAGACUCAGUUACUGUAUCCUGUAAAACCAGUCCUGACGUCUAUCAGGGUUGGGGUUAUCAGCCUCUCAGCUGGUACUUACAGAAACCUGGAGAAACUCCAAAACUCCUGAUUUAUAAAGCAAGCACCCUCCAGUCAGGAACUCCAUCUAGAUUCAGUGGCAGUGGAUCUAAGAGUGAUUUCACUCUGACCAUCAGUGGAGUCCAGACUGAAGAUGCUGGACAUUAUUACUGUCUGGGUGUACACUGUCCUAGUGGCUGUGUGUUCACACAGUGAUAAAGAGUCGUACAA
Megalobrama amblycephala (Wuchang bream) is the source of this 484-nucleotide non-coding RNA. NCBI's taxonomy places the organism in Eukaryota, Metazoa, Chordata, Actinopteri, Cypriniformes, Xenocyprididae. The record is from the annotation of a RefSeq genome assembly.